UGAAUGUGCAACUAACAACGGAGGUUGUGGACAAGUGUGUACUAAUACUGUUGGAAGCUAUACUUGCUCUUGUCAUACUGGUUAUACAUUAAACAGCAAUCAGAAAAGCUGUACUGAUACUGUUGAAUGUAAUUCCAACAAUGGAGGCUGUGAAGAUAACUGUGUGAAUACAGCUGGCAGUUAUUACUGUACGUGUAAUGCUGGUUUUAGUCUCAACAGUGACCAACGAAAUUGUGACAAUAUCAAUGAGUGUAAUCAAGGUAAUGGUGGAUGUGAACACACUUGCACUGACACUGUUGGAAGCUUCAGUUGUUCUUGUAAUUCUGGAUACCAGCUAACAGCAGGAGGACAUUGUUCAGAUAAGAAUGAGUGUAAUUCUAACAAUGGAGGGUGUGAUCAUACUUGUGUGAAUACAGUUGGUAGUUAUGUUUGUCA
This is a long non-coding RNA of Amphimedon queenslandica, 435 nucleotides long. RefSeq lists it as uncharacterized. The transcript has 4 exons. Lineage: Eukaryota; Metazoa; Porifera; Demospongiae; Haplosclerida; Niphatidae. The record is from RefSeq and is a predicted model, not a curated record.